AAGAGAGAGAGAAGAAAGGGAGGAAAGAGAGUGGAAAGAAAAGGGAGGAAGGAAGGACAAGACUGCUGGAGACUGCUGGAAAAGGAGAAGGGAAAAAGGAGAAAGGGCAAUCCCACAACCCCUGCACCACUCCAUCACCACCCCAAGCCCUUUCUUGAGAUAAAUGAGGGCCUAGAUAGUAGAUCUUGUGGAAAUUUUUUAUUGGCUCCUUCCUCCAAACUACACCCAAUAAGAAUAAACAUGUUCAAAAGUUUGCCCUGUUCAUAAACCCUUAUUCAAAACCCCUGAGUGGCUUUUAUCUUCUCUUGAGAAGUCUUAGGGUGACAAGCCAAAUUAAAAACUCACUAAAAAUUUCCUUUAACUAUGCACCUGAAAGGCUGUCACUCUGGAUAUUCAGUUCUGCCAUGGAGGAGGCUCCCUUUGAGGAGACGGCCUGUCAAGCAUGAUUGUGCUGGGGGAAUGGAGACAAGAGGUGUGCAGAGCAGGAAAUGUACAUUAAACAUACCUGCACAUAUGUUAUCUUUCUACUUCCUUUACAAAAAUGCUCUGAUAGACAAUAAUGUCCCCAGGUUACUAAUGUCACAAACCUCUUGAACAUGAGAGAAACUGUACCAUUCUUUAAAUAUGGCCUUUUGGAAGAGAAGAUGAAAGAGGAUUCGGAAUCGAAGUCUGGACUCAAUAAAAAGAAAAGUCCAGAAAAGUCCAGAACCAUGACUUUUGCCUUGAGAACUCCCAAACGUGGACCAAGACACAACACGAUCACCAGGCCUGCACUCCCACGGCGGCCCCACCAGCCUGCAGUUGGACCGAGUUAAGGAACACUGAAGCCCGCCCUGGAACGGUGGUGUCCAACCCAGACUGCCACGGUGAUCCGCCGAAAACAAGCACGUGCCUUAGGAAAAAUUCCAGUGCAAAGCAAGAUUAAGCACGUUAAAUUCAUCACCUACAGUACAGCAUAAAAUCUUUUUGAUCAACCUGUUUAACUCUACAAUUGUAUUUUAUUCUAACUAUGUGAGAGAAAGAGUAAAGUUACCAAGAUUUCACCUUUUCUAGUAAAAGAUAACCGAGAAGCAUGUUGAGAAGUCAGUUCUAUCCAAAGAACUGGUUCCUCUGGACUACAACAUACUGACUGCAAAUACCUCUUUUCUUCCAGAAUAGUCUGAAUUAUCAAAUUUUAUUGGAAAGAAUAGGUAUGGAUACAUCUGUCAUAAUAAAUAAAUAUGAAAUGCUCAUCAUUUUUCAAAGGUGUCUCUUAGGUGAUAUCUAUCCCAAAGGAUAAUUAGGAUGUGACUUCUGAAAUUUUGCAUAAAUAAAAAUGAUAUCAUUUUGUUGAAAAAAAAAAACAAAAAACUAAAAACUUCAUGGAAAACCCACUCACUGGCAUUCCUUUGAAACAUACAUACAGAGAUCUGUAUAGUGUUUUUCCUUGCCUAUGGAAGUUCAUUAUGCAUGAGAGGGAUUCCACGUGCAAUAACUGAA
Phyllostomus discolor (pale spear-nosed bat) is the source of this 1479-nucleotide long non-coding RNA. RefSeq lists it as uncharacterized. The record is from RefSeq and is a predicted model, not a curated record. NCBI's taxonomy places the organism in Eukaryota, Metazoa, Chordata, Mammalia, Chiroptera, Phyllostomidae. The transcript is spliced from 2 exons.